This 40-nucleotide non-coding RNA is filed under the name Mus musculus (house mouse). Lineage: Eukaryota; Metazoa; Chordata; Mammalia; Rodentia; Muridae. The record is from RNAcentral.
UAUUGAAGAUGAAAGCAAGCCUGCAUAUUAAUGGGAUGGA